Long non-coding RNA from Vulpes vulpes (red fox), 1377 nucleotides. The record is from Ensembl. NCBI's taxonomy places the organism in Eukaryota, Metazoa, Chordata, Mammalia, Carnivora, Canidae.
AAACGCUGUCUGCCCUUUAUCACACCUUCCCAUUGGCCCUGGCUCUGCCUUGUACCAGUCUCCUGAUCUCGAGGUGCUUGGGUCCCCACUGCUUACUGCAGCCCCUGGGAUCCGGAGGGUCCCCUCCCUCCCCACUCAUGUCCUCAGGCACAAGCCCAGCCCUGACCAGGGACCUCAGUGGGGAGUCCUGGGAGUGAGCCCACCCCNCCCCACCCCCACCCCUACUCCACCAGGUAUACAGAGAGCCAGAUCCCCCUCCCUCAGGGGCAGGGGCUUAGGCCUCCACAGGAGAUAAAGCUCUUGUCACAGUGAUGUGGGAGCCCUGGGUCCUGGCGUUGUAACCCUCCCUCGGCCACCCGUCCGGUUAUGGCAGGAGCAGGACCCAGGUCUGCAAGUGACAUUGCUUCGGAGCUGACCAGCUGCGGCCCCAAGGCUGACCUGACUAGAGGGCUGGGAGACCCAAUCUCAGGCUGUGAGGCUCCCACAGCACCCGGGGGCAGUGAGGUGGGGGCAGAUGUCAGGGCACGAGCCUCCCCACACCUCCGAGGAGCACAACCAGCCUGUGGUGAACUCAGGCAGGAGAGCCGCUCCAGACAAGGUGGGAAGUGCACCUGUCUGCAGGAAUCAUCCUGCCCGAGCUGCCUCAGCACAGCAGGGGUCUCAGGGCAGGGGCCCCCUCUGUCUGCCCUUGAAGAGUCAGGCUGGGUGGGAUAGGCGGGGUCUGCUCCCUCCUGCCUCAGGGACCCUCGACAAUCCAGGACCAGGACCUCCAGCUGGCCGUGUGCUGGAUGCCCAGGGAGCUCCCCCCUGAUGUGGGGACCAUCAAGAGCCAUCGGUUCCAGCAACACCUGCAAGUCAGUGUGACCUUCGGGAGCUUGGUGUGGGGCAUCAGGGUGGGCUGAGCUGGAACCCCAUCCUGCAAGUGACUUCACUGCCCUGGCCUCAACUUGCAUUUCUGUAAAAUGGGGAUCCACCUCGCCACAUCACAGGAGUCAUUCAAGCCAGUCCCGAAAGGUUACAUGCCCUGUGAUUCUAUUUACUUGGCGUUCUUGAAAUAAGAAAAUGAAAGAAAUGGAGAGCAGAUCAGCGGUUUCCAGGGGUCAGGGAAGAGGGAGGAAGGGGAGGGGAGGAUGCUUAUGGAAGGAAAACAGAAGACAACCUCGUGGAAAGAAUGGAAAUCGAGGGGGUGCCUGGAUGGCUCAGUCCAUUAAGCAUCUGCCUUCAGCUCUGGUCCUAAUCCUGGGGUCCUGGCUCGGGCUCCCUGCUCGGUGGGGAGUCUGCUUCUCCCUCUGCCCCUCCCCUCACCCCUGCACUUGUGCUCGCUCUCAGAAAAAGAGAAAAAAUAAUAAAAAGUGGAAACCAAGGAAAUGCCUUGCA